CAGCCGCCGCGGUAAGACAGAGGAUGCAAACGUUAUCCGGAAUGAUUGGGCGUAAAGCGUCUGUAGGUGGCUUUUCAAGUCCGCCGUCAAAUCCCAGGGCUCAACCCUGGAUAGGCGGUGGAAACUACCAAGCUGGAGUAUGGUAGGGGCAGAGGGAAUUUCUGGUGGGGCGGUGAAAUGCGUUGAGAUCGGAAAGAACACCAACGGCGAAAGCACUCUGCUGGGCCGACACUGACACUGAGAGACGAAAGCUAGGGGAGCAAAUGGGAUUAGAUACCCCCGUAGUCCCUGUCUCUUAUAC
RNAcentral lists this ribosomal RNA (301 nucleotides) under uncultured bacterium. Its description in RNAcentral is "partial 16S ribosomal RNA". It matches the Rfam family "Bacterial small subunit ribosomal RNA", at positions 509 to 807 of the family's 1533-position model. The record is from RNAcentral.